Molecule: ribosomal RNA, 290 nt
Filed under: Escherichia coli
Lineage: Bacteria; Pseudomonadati; Pseudomonadota; Gammaproteobacteria; Enterobacterales; Enterobacteriaceae
Description: partial 23S ribosomal RNA
Rfam family: Bacterial large subunit ribosomal RNA
Source: RNAcentral
GGUUAAGCGACUAAGCGUACACGGUGGAUGCCCUGGCAGUCAGAGGCGAUGAAGGACGUGCUAAUCUGCGAUAAGCGUCGGUGAGGUGAUAUGAACCGUUAUAACCGGCGAUUUCCGAAUGGGGAAACCCAGUGUGUUUCGACACACUAUCAUUAACUGAAUCCAUAGGUUAAUGAGGCGAACCGGGGGAACUGAAACAUCUAAGUACCCCGAGGAAAAGAAAUCAACCGAGAUUCCCCCAGUAGCGGCGAGCGAACGGGGAGGAGCCCAGAGCCUGAAUCAGUGUGUGU